Molecule: ribosomal RNA, 443 nt
Filed under: uncultured bacterium
Lineage: Bacteria
Description: partial 16S ribosomal RNA
Rfam family: Bacterial small subunit ribosomal RNA
Source: RNAcentral
CCUACGGGUGGCAGCAGUCGGGAAUAUUGCGCAAUGGGCGCAAGCCUGACCCAGCAACGCCGCGUGAAGGAAGAAAGCUUUCGGGUUGUAAACUUCUUUUGUCAGGGACGCAGCAAGUGACGGUACCUGACGAAUAAGCCACGGCUAACUACGCGCCAGCAGCAGCGGUAAUACGUAGGGGGCAAGCGUUAUCAGGAUUUACUGGGUGUAAAGGGCGUGUAGGCGGGACUGCAAGUCUGAUGUGAAAACCACGGGCUCAACCUGUGGCCUGCAUUUGAAACUGUAGGUCUUGAGUACUGGAGAGGCAGACGGAAUUCCCAGUGUAGCGGUGAAAUGCGUAGAUAUUAGGAGGAACACCAGUGGCGAAGGCGGUCUGCUGGACAGCAACUGACGCUGAGGCGCGAAAGCGUGGGGAGCAAACAGGAUUAGAUACCCCUGUAGUC